RNA transcript from Anguilla rostrata (American eel), 3892 nucleotides. RefSeq lists it as uncharacterized. The transcript is spliced from 3 exons. NCBI's taxonomy places the organism in Eukaryota, Metazoa, Chordata, Actinopteri, Anguilliformes, Anguillidae. The record is from RefSeq and is a predicted model, not a curated record.
AAAAUGGUAAGCAAUUGGUUAAAAAAGCAUCAGCAUAUCCGAUUAUGGCCAAUUAGAACACAUUUCUUUACCCGGGGGCAGAAGGACAUCCCACCCUGCUCAGACUAUAUGAGUUAAGAGUCACAGCAAGACACACCUCCUGGGUCUGCAGAUGAUCCGGCAAACACAGGUGCAGGGACGGUUCCUCUCAUGCACAUUCAUGCCAGUUCCCGAUUGAGUUUUCAGGAGUUUCCAAAAAUUCUGUCAUUGUUUUCUUUCUGUGCUUAAAAGAGGACUGGUAACUCAACUCAGCGAUGGCACAAUCUCACACAAGUUACUCUACAACAAGAGAAGAAGCUGCAUCUAAGUGGUCAGAUGUAAUUAAGAACAGUGUACAGAUUGCAACAGAACCCAAACAAACAUACCUGCUGAACACAGCCAAGACAAUACUGAAUAAAGAUGGAACAGCCAGGAGAUACACGUUUGGAAGAAAGGACCCCAACAAAAGGAACAGGACAAUCAUGAUGGUGGGAGAAACAGGAACAGGGAAGUCUUUGUUCAUCACUAUGAUGAUCAACUACAUGCUGGGUGUAAAGUGGGAAGACAAAAUCAGGUUUGAAAUCAUUCCAGAUGAAAGAAAAAGACCUCAAACUGAAUCUCAAGCCACUGUGAUUUCUGCCUAUGAUAUUUUUGGGCUGGAGGAACUGUCUGUUCCUUUUUCCCUCACAGUCAUUGAUAUGCCAGGAUAUGGAAACACAAGAGGUCUGGAUGAAGAUAAAAACAUGGCUCAGAAUCUGUACACAUUCUUGAAAUCUUUAAGUGAUGAUCAACAAAUACAUGCAGUUUGCCUUGUGGUGAAGGCAUCUCAAUUUCGCCUAAGUCCCAGCCAGAAAUACAUCUUUGAUGCCAUUCUGUCUGUCUUCGGGAAGAACAUUGAGAACUUCAUGAUUAUUUUCACCUUCUCAGACUGGAUGCCACCUCCAGCUCUUAAGCUAGUUUCUGUGUCUGGUGUACCUGUCUUCAAAGAUGAAAAUAAUGACCCUGUUCACUUCCUGUUCAACAACCUUCCUCCUCAGAAGUUUGCUAAGAAAUGCGAAGAAACAUAUAAAACAGCCUGGGAUAAUGGAGCAAAGAGCUUCAGAGAGUUUUUUCAGAUUUUAUAUAAAAUAGAACCGCAAUGCAUGCAGAUGACUAAAGACGUUUUGAGGGAACGUUGGAGCCUGGAAGAGGGUAUCCAGAACUUGGCGAGUCAGAUUAAAGUGGAGAAAGAGAAGCACAGGGCACUUGAGGAGCUGCAGAAAAGUUUGGAAGAGCACAAAGAGGACAUGAAGAAAAGUAACAUCUAUCAGAAUACAUACGCAGCUGAGAAACAUGCAACUUCCAGCACUGUAUCUGAGGCACGCCGCCACUCUGCAUGGGGUUCCUGGAUAUUCUCAAUCGGGGGUAUUUUAAAGAAUCUGGGAUAUAUCAUAUGGCAUGUUAUAUGUAGAUUAUGUGCUACUAUGUACAGAAAAUUAAGGGGCAAUCAAUAUGAAGCCGUUCCUGAAACCUGCAGCUCCGAGGGCCACCAAAAAGAAGACGAAGAAAGAAUAAUAACAUAUGAGGAUCCUAAAAAAGAUGCCAAGCACAAACUAGCCACAGACAUAUCCAAACUUGAAGAAGAGCUGAAGGACAUGAAGGCUGAGAAGACCAAACUGAUGGAGAGUUGUUACCAGUCCAUUCUCCAGCUGAGAGAGCUCGCUCUGAAGUUUGAUUCAGAUUCUACUCAUCAGAGUAUUCUCAGGCUGAUUCCAAUGCUGAGGGAGAACAAAGACACAGAGAAGGUGGAAGAGCUGCAGAUGAUGCUGAAGAAGACUGUGUGAGAUUAACACACAUGGGGAAGACAUGUUUAGUUGCAUGCUCUUCCGAUUUUCGAUAUUGUAUGGUCAAAACCAUAUGUUUGAGCAAACCUGAAUAGUUGAGUUUCUUUUUUUCCCCAAAGUAUCCCCUGUUGCCCCUAAAACAGAAAUAUAGACAACAGCUCCCAAAAUAAACCGUCAAGGGUGUAUUUAGUCAGGAUUGUAACUUUAUGGGCUCUAUUUUCAAACCGGCGCAAGGGGACAGUAUAGUCAAACGCAAGCUUGUUGACAGCAUCAACAUCUUAAAACUGGCGCUAUGGCGUUUCUCAGCAAUACCGCUAGGAUCAAUAAAUUCCCAACAUAACAUCCUUUCGCUUGCGCUGCAGUGGGAGGAGUGGCGCUGUCUGGGGCGUGUUCUAAAAUACUUUUGGCGCAGUGACAAUUUGAAACAACGAAAACCCAUUGCGUUAUGAUCAGCUGGAAACACCUCUUAGCGGCAACGCCAUAGACUCUGGCAAUUUGGCAACUUACUAGUCAUGUAGUUGUAUGUAGUGUCUAUAGGUGAUGCCAACAUUACACUUCCAUUUAAUAACAAAUAGCCUAUAAAUUAAUUAGUUUAAUUAAUUAAUUUAAACUACUAGAAUAAAACAGGACAGAUUACAAACAACCUGCGAUCAUGUAGGCCUAUACCCUAAAAUAUAUAAAUUAUAUUGAGACACUAUAUUAAGCCUUUUUCAGCAUUGGCAGGCCGUUCGAACAUUUAAUGCAUCCUCCUCCCAUGCCUUCCGAACGUCUGGGAGAGGAGAUGGUAUGGAUUGUGAUCCAUAAAUUGCUACAGUCCUAGCCUGUAUUUCUGAUUCCUGUGUGGAAAAGCGCUCUUGCCGUUGACGGUCCAGUGCAUUUGGGUUGCUCAUUGUGAAAUUGCAUGGAGCGAUUGUGUUCCAACUGGAUUUCUUUUUAAAGCAUGAGAACAACAAUUUGAUUGUCUCCCAUAGAAACACACCUUGGACAUUUAAACCCCACCUUUUAGCGAUACCAUCAUCAGGUGUGCCAAGAUUUCCGUUAUGAAAUUACCAAAUUUCUCGCCGACACGCCCUCAGAGCAAUAACGCCAACGCUUACUCUUGCGUUCCCCAUUGCCUUUGGUUUAUGAAAAUAGAGCCCUGUAUAUCUCUACCUCUUGUGAUGUAACCCGUUGUUUCCAUAGGAACUACUGAAGAGACACUCCCAGGCUCAACAGAACAACAGUGAAGCCAGAAAGCAAAUGUAUGACAACGGGAAAAAUAUGACAGUAUGCUUUACACUGGAUUUACCUUGAGGUGGAUAUUUAUUUACUUACUGGUAUGUUGUAGUAUUUAAACAACUACCCAUGAAUAGAAGUUUGUAUUCAAUGUGUAGUAUAGUUUUUGAUUUGUGAAAUAUAUGUAAUAUCAAGCAUGAAUCUUGCAAAAUCUGUACUUGGGAGGAAGGACUGCUGAGGUAGUACUUUAUAAAAUCUUGAGUAGUGUCAGCUUUCAUUACAGGUAAAUAUAACAGUGUUUACUUUGUUUGAAAUCCAGUUCUCCCCCAUUUACUGCUUUUAAGGCCAUUUCCAAUCAAAACUAUGAGGGCCGAUGAAACAAUGAAUUAUUUAAAUUCAUAGAAUGAGUCUGUAGUUAAAAUAAAUUACUUCCAUUACAACAGUUUGUUGGUUGACCAAAUUCAUCUCAUUGUUAAACUUGGGAUUCCAGAUGUGACACGUUGAGCCAUGAGAGACCCCAGUGGCUGAGCACACAUUCUAAAAAACUUGGUUGCCCAAGACAAAUGACACAUCUACAACCACCCUAAAACAGUAUUGAUUUCCUGAUCUGAACUGGUCUGUUUAAUGGUCUUUUUUUCUUUUAAGGUACUGUGGAGUGCUUAUUAGAUUGGUAUUUUCCCAGGUGCUAUAAUUGUGAUACAUUGCAUGGACAUAGGCAGGAGGAUUUGUGUAUAGCUAAAAAAAGCUUUUAACUUCUUUGGUGGGAGGGGGAAAAUUAUAUACUAGAAUCCUGAUAUUGCAUGGGUAAUUUAGAAUGGCACAGGCCCAGAUCCCAA